This 291-nucleotide long non-coding RNA is filed under the name Linum usitatissimum (flax). RNAcentral describes it as "long non-coding RNA (LUSI_LNC004767)". The record is from RNAcentral. Lineage: Eukaryota; Viridiplantae; Streptophyta; Magnoliopsida; Malpighiales; Linaceae.
UGUAUAACACUUUCAGAAUGUGAAAUUACAUCAUGGUUUGUUUCAAGCGGUGUGCUUUGAACUACUCUUUUGUAAUUAUAUUGUACGAAUCUUUAGUAUUAUGAUGUUAAUUUUACAUUUCAUUGAAAGUUUAUUUUUUGUUAAAUAGUUGAUUUUUUGUUAAAUAAUUGAUUUUUUAUACAACAAAAGAUAUCCCCUUGGCCAAAUUUCUGACUCCGCCUCUACAGAGAUGAGCAUGAUGAGCAUAAGGAUGCAACAUACUUGAAAGAUUGGAGCCAAUUCAUAUUCAAU